CAGCCGCCGCGGGAAAACGUAGGUGGCAAGCGUUGUCCGGAAUUAUUGGGCGUAAAGCGCGCGCAGGCGGAUAGGUCAGUCUGUCUUAAAAGUUCGGGACUUAACCCCGUGAUGAGAUGGAAACUGCCAAUCUAGAGUAUCGGAGAGGAAAGUGGAAUUCCUAGUGUAGCGGUGAAAUGCGUAGAUAUUAGGAAGAACACCAGUGGCGAAGGCGACUUUCUGGACGAAAACUGACGCUGAGGCGCGAAAGCCAGGGGAGCGAACGGGAUUAGAUACCCCGGUAGUCCCUGUCUCUUAUACA
This 301-nucleotide ribosomal RNA is filed under the name uncultured bacterium. RNAcentral's name for it is "partial 16S ribosomal RNA". It matches the Rfam family "Bacterial small subunit ribosomal RNA", at positions 509 to 809 of the family's 1533-position model. The record is from RNAcentral.